GACGAACGCUGGCGGCGUGCCUAAUACAUGCAAGUAGAACGCUGAAGGAGGAGCUUGCUUCUCUGGAUGAGUUGCGAACGGGUGAGUAACGCGUAGGUAACCUGCCUGGUAGCGGGGGAUAACUAUUGGAAACGAUAGCUAAUACCGCAUAAGAGUAGAUGUUGCAUGACAUUUGCUUAAAAGGUGCAAUUGCAUCACUACCAGAUGGACCUGCGUUGUAUUAGCUAGUUGGUGAGGUAACGGCUCACCAAGGCGACGAUACAUAGCCGACCUGAGAGGGUGAUCGGCCACACUGGGACUGAGACACGGCCCAGACUCCUACGGGAGGCAGCAGUAGGGAAUCUUCGGCAAUGGACGGAAGUCUGACCGAGCAACGCCGCGUGAGUGAAGAAGGGUGUCGGAUCGUAAAGCUCUGUUGUAAGAGAAGAACGAGUGUGAGAGUGGAAAGUUCACACUGUGACGGUAUCUUACCAGAAAGGGACGGCUAACUACGUG
RNAcentral lists this ribosomal RNA (495 nucleotides) under uncultured bacterium. RNAcentral describes it as "partial 16S ribosomal RNA". It matches the Rfam family "Bacterial small subunit ribosomal RNA", at positions 28 to 507 of the family's 1533-position model. The record is from RNAcentral.